CCCCGCGAACUACUUAUGCCCUUCUGGAACAGGCAAACUUUAUUGUUUGCCCUUCAGUUGCGCAGGUCAGGGGCUGGCUCCUUUUGGUGUCAGUUGACUUGACUGGGCGGGUCCAAUACCAGCCGGAUUCACCUUGCCUUCUAGGCUUGGGGUUCUGCCGGCUGUGAGGGGUGGCUGUUUAACUCACUUUAAGCAAUCAAUUCUGAAGGCAGAUCUAUAGGCUGGCUAUGCUGGCUGUAGUCUGAUUAAAUAUAGACAACUCUCAACAACGGAUAUCUUGGCUCCCGUAACGAUGAAGAACGCAGCGAAAUGCGAUACGUAGUGUGAAUUGCAGAAUUCCGUGAACCAUCGAAUCUUUGAACGCAAAUUGCGCUCGAGGCCUCGGCCAAGAGCAUGUCUGCCUCAGCGUCGGCUACUACCCUCAACUAAGUUUCCUAUACACAUAGGGGAUGCCGGUUGGAUCUGGCCGUCCGGUUUGCCUUUUAGGUUGCCGGUCAGCUGAAAUACGUUCACGCUCUGGGGGCUGCUUUCCUUCCGAGGAGAGGCGAGUUCCGAUUUGGUAGGUGACCUUUGCCGGUUGCAUGCCUUCGUUGCCCGCUAAGCUUUCCAGUAUGCGUUGUGCAGGACGCCUUUUGGCUUUCGACCUGAGGUCAGGCAAGAACACCCGCUGAACUUAAGCAUAUCAAUAAGCGGAGGAAAAGAAACUAACUAGGAUUCCCUUAGUAGCGGCGAGCGAACCGGGAUCAGCCCAACUUGUAAAUCAUUAGCCCUUGGCUAAUUGAAUUGUAGUCUCAAGAUGCGAUCUCUGCAGCUAGCAGUGCCCAAUUUUCCUUGG
Molecule: ribosomal RNA, 835 nt
Filed under: Trebouxia sp. BGK-2010
Lineage: Eukaryota; Viridiplantae; Chlorophyta; Trebouxiophyceae; Trebouxiales; Trebouxiaceae
Description: eukaryotic LSU rRNA
Rfam family: 5.8S ribosomal RNA (bases 258-411)
Source: RNAcentral